RNAcentral lists this ribosomal RNA (460 nucleotides) under uncultured bacterium. Its description in RNAcentral is "partial 16S ribosomal RNA". It matches the Rfam family "Bacterial small subunit ribosomal RNA", at positions 338 to 795 of the family's 1533-position model. The record is from RNAcentral.
CCUACGGGAGGCAGCAGUGAGGAAUAUUGGUCAAUGGGCGCUAGACUGAACCAGCCAAGUAGCGUGAAGGAUGACUGCCCUAUGGGUUGUAAACUUCUUUUAUAUGGGAAUAAAGUGCAGUAUGUAUACUGCUUUGCAGGUACCUUCUGAAUAAGGAUCGGCUAACUCCGUGCCAGCAGCAGCGGUAAUACGGAGGAGACGAGCGUUAUCCGGAUUUAUUGGGUGUAAAGGGAGCGUAGGCGGGUUGUUAAGUAAGGUGUGAAAGUUACUGGACCAACCGUAAAAUGGCAGUUGAUACUGGCAGUCUUGAUUACUGUAGAGGUAGGCGGAAUUCGUAGUGUAGCGGGGAAAUGCUUAGAUAUCGCGCAGAACUCCGAUUGCGAAGGCAGCAUGCUGGACUGUAACUGACGCUGAUGCCCGAAAGUGUGGGUAUCGAACAGGAGUAGAUACCCGGGUAGUC